Molecule: transfer RNA, 62 nt
Filed under: Myllaena audax
Lineage: Eukaryota; Metazoa; Arthropoda; Insecta; Coleoptera; Staphylinidae
Description: tRNA-Leu
Source: RNAcentral
AUUAUUUUGGCAGAUUAGUGCGUUAAAUUUAGAAUUUAGAUAUGUAAAAAAUUACAAAUAAU